Molecule: transfer RNA, 65 nt
Filed under: bovine gut metagenome
Rfam family: tRNA
About the family: Transfer RNA (tRNA) molecules are approximately 80 nucleotides in length.
Source: RNAcentral
AGUGUGGCUCAAUGGCAGAGCAGCUCAUUCGUAAUGAGCAGGUUGUGGGUUCGAUUCCCACCACU